GAUGAACGCUGGCGGCGUGCCUAAUACAUGCAAGUCGAGCGAACAGACGAGGAGCUUGCUCCUCUGACGUUAGCGGCGGACGGGUGAGUAACACGUGGAUAACCUACCUAUAAGACUGGGAUAACUUCGGGAAACCGGAGCUAAUACCGGAUAAUAUAAUGAACCGCAUGGUUCAAUAGUGAAAGACGGUUUUGCUGUCACUUAUAGAUGGAUCCGCGCCGCAUUAGCUAGUUGGUAAGGUAACGGCUUACCAAGGCGACGAUGCGUAGCCGACCUGAGAGGGUGAUCGGCCACACUGGAACUGAGACCCGGUCCAGACUCCUACGGGAGGCAGCAGUAGGGAAUCUUCCGCAAUGGGCGAAAGCCUGACGGAGCAACGCCGCGUGAGUGAUGAAGGUCUUCGGAUCGUAAAACUCUGUUAUUAGGGAAGAACAAAUGUGUAAGUAACUAUGCACGUCUUGACGGUACCUAAUCAGAAAGCCACGGCUAACUACGUG
RNAcentral lists this ribosomal RNA (497 nucleotides) under uncultured bacterium. RNAcentral's name for it is "partial 16S ribosomal RNA". It matches the Rfam family "Bacterial small subunit ribosomal RNA", at positions 28 to 507 of the family's 1533-position model. The record is from RNAcentral.